Molecule: ribosomal RNA, 541 nt
Filed under: Aspergillus flavus
Lineage: Eukaryota; Fungi; Ascomycota; Eurotiomycetes; Eurotiales; Aspergillaceae
Description: eukaryotic LSU rRNA
Rfam family: 5.8S ribosomal RNA (bases 168-321)
Source: RNAcentral
CUAGCGAGCCCAACCUCCCACCCGUGUUUACUGUACCUUAGUUGCUUCGGCGGGCCCGCCAUUCAUGGCCGCCGGGGGCUCUCAGCCCCGGGCCCGCGCCCGCCGGAGACACCACGAACUCUGUCUGAUCUAGUGAAGUCUGAGUUGAUUGUAUCGCAAUCAGUUAAAACUUUCAACAAUGGAUCUCUUGGUUCCGGCAUCGAUGAAGAACGCAGCGAAAUGCGAUAACUAGUGUGAAUUGCAGAAUUCCGUGAAUCAUCGAGUCUUUGAACGCACAUUGCGCCCCCUGGUAUUCCGGGGGGCAUGCCUGUCCGAGCGUCAUUGCUGCCCAUCAAGCACGGCUUGUGUGUUGGGUCGUCGUCCCCUCUCCGGGGGGGACGGGCCCCAAAGGCAGCGGCGGCACCGCGUCCGAUCCUCGAGCGUAUGGGGCUUUGUCACCCGCUCUGUAGGCCCGGCCGGCGCUUGCCGAACGCAAAUCAAUCUUUUUCCAGGUUGACCUCGGAUCAGGUAGGGAUACCCGCUGAACUUAAGCAUAUCAAUA